AUUGAACGCUGGCGGCAGGCCUAACACAUGCAAGUCGAAUGGUAACAGGAAACAGCUUGCUGUUUCGCUGACGAGUGGCGGACGGGUGAGAAAUGUCUGGGAAACUGCCUGAUGGAGGGGGAUAACUACUGGAAACGGUAGCUAAUACCGCAUAACGUCGCAAGACCAAAGAGGGGGACCUUCGGGCCGCUUGCCAUCAGAUGUGCCCAGAUGGGAUUAGCUAGUAGGUGGGGUAACGGCUCACCUAGGCGACGAGCCCUAGCUGGUCGGAGAGGAUGACCGGCCACACUGGAACUGAGACACGGUCCAGACUCCUACGGGAGGCAGCAGUGGGGAAUAUUGCACAAUGGGCGCAAGCCUGAUGCAGCCAUGCCGCGUGUAUGAAGAAGGCCUUCGGGUUGUAAAGUACUUUCAGCGGGGAGGAAGGGAGUAAAGUUAAUACCUUGGCUCAUUGACGUUACCCGCAGAAGAAGCACCGGCUAACUCCGUG
RNAcentral lists this ribosomal RNA (490 nucleotides) under uncultured bacterium. RNAcentral describes it as "partial 16S ribosomal RNA". It matches the Rfam family "Bacterial small subunit ribosomal RNA", at positions 30 to 507 of the family's 1533-position model. The record is from RNAcentral.